Molecule: long non-coding RNA, 268 nt
Organism: Pezoporus flaviventris
Lineage: Eukaryota; Metazoa; Chordata; Aves; Psittaciformes; Psittacidae
Exons: 4
Source: RefSeq, a predicted model, not a curated record
CAGAUAAACCAUAGGGAAGUCACUGUGCUGCAGGUACAGCACUGGCUGCGUGUGGUACCCAGCCAGGAGCUGGGAUCCAGGUUGUGUGCCCCAUCCCAGCCAGGAGCUGGGAUCCAGGUUGUGUGCCCCAUCCCAGCCAGGGGUGAGAUCCAGGCUGUGUGCCCCAUCCCAGCCAGGGAGAUGGGAAAAGGGCUGUAAAAGCCACAUAGGAAACUUGCUCAUCCCAUUGUUCUGCUGCAGUGAACCAAGGAGCUGGUGUUUCACUGAC